Molecule: ribosomal RNA, 254 nt
Filed under: uncultured bacterium
Lineage: Bacteria
Description: partial 16S ribosomal RNA
Rfam family: Bacterial small subunit ribosomal RNA
Source: RNAcentral
UACGUAGGGUGCAAGCGUUGUCCGGAAUUAUUGGGCGUAAAGAGCGCGCAGGCGGUCGUUCAAGUCGCGUGUGAAAGCCCCCCGGCUCAACUGGGGAGGGUCACGCGAUACUGAUCGACUCGAAGGCAGGAGAGGGUAGUGGAAUUCCCGGUGUAGUGGUGAAAUGCGCAGAUAUCAGGAGGAACACCGGUGGCGAAGGCGGGUCUCUGGGCCGAUACUGACGCUGAGGAGCGAAAGCGUGGGGAGCGAACAGG